This 253-nucleotide ribosomal RNA is filed under the name uncultured bacterium. RNAcentral's name for it is "partial 16S ribosomal RNA". It matches the Rfam family "Bacterial small subunit ribosomal RNA", at positions 524 to 776 of the family's 1533-position model. The record is from RNAcentral.
UACGUAGGGUGCGAGCGUUGUCCGGAAUUAUUGGGCGUAAAGAGCUUGUAGGCGGUUUGUCGCGUCUGCCGUGAAAAUCCGGGGCUCAACCCCGGACUUGCGGUGGGUACGGGCAGACUAGAGUGUGGUAGGGGAGACUGGAAUUCCAGGUGUAGCGGUGAAAUGCGUAGAUAUCUGGAGGAAUACCGGUGGCGAAGGCGGCAUCCUGGACCGGCAUUGACGCUGAGGAGCGAAAGCUAGGGGAGCAAACGGG